RNAcentral lists this ribosomal RNA (513 nucleotides) under Merluccius gayi (Southern Pacific hake). Its description in RNAcentral is "partial 16S ribosomal RNA". It matches the Rfam family "Bacterial large subunit ribosomal RNA", at positions 1854 to 2567 of the family's 2925-position model. Lineage: Eukaryota; Metazoa; Chordata; Actinopteri; Gadiformes; Merlucciidae. The record is from RNAcentral.
CCGCCUGCCCUGUGACUAUAUGUUUAACGGCCGCGGUAUCUUAACCGUGCGAAGGUAGCGUAAUCACUUGUCUUUUAAAUGAAGACCUGUAUGAAUGGCAUCACGAGGGCUUAACUGUCUCCCCUCUCCAGUCAAUGAAAUUGACCUCCCCGUGCAGAGGCGGGGAUAUUUCUAUAAGACGAGAAGACCCUGUGGAGCUUUAGACCUAAAGUAAACCACGUUUAAUGUACUAAAAUUAAUAGCAAAAACUUAGUGGACAUUUAUUUAAGUGUCUUUGGUUGGGGCGACCGCGGAGUAAAACACAACCUCCAUGUGGACGGGGAUACUUUCCCUAAAACUCAGAGCCUCCACUCCAAGCAACAGAAAUUCUGACCUUACUGAUCCGGUACAACCGAUUAACGAACCCAGUUACCCCAGGGAUAACAGCGCAAUCCCCUCUCAGAGCUCAUAUCGACGAGGGGGUUUACGACCUCGAUGUUGGAUCAGGACAUCCUAGUGGUGCAGCCGCUAUUG